UACGUAGGGUGCGAGCGUUGUCCGGAAUUAUUGGGCGUAAAGGGCUCGUAGGCGGUUUGUCGCGUCGGGAGUGAAAUCCACUGGCUUAACUGGUGGCUUGCUUUCGAUACGGGCAGACUGGAGGUAUGCAGGGGAGAACGGAAUUCCUGGUGUAGCGGUGAAAUGCGCAGAUAUCAGGAGGAACACCGGUGGCGAAGGCGGAUCUCUGGGCAUGUCCUGACGCUGAGGAGCGAAAGUGUGGGGAGCGAACAGG
Molecule: ribosomal RNA, 253 nt
Filed under: uncultured bacterium
Lineage: Bacteria
Description: partial 16S ribosomal RNA
Rfam family: Bacterial small subunit ribosomal RNA
Source: RNAcentral